UUUGUUCAACACUCUUUCAUUCGCAGUCGGACGUUCUUGCAAGUAGGACGUGUUGCGUUGCGCGGUAUCCAAUUCGCGGUGUUCUCAAGUCAAAGUUUACCCCCCUUUGAUUGUUCAGUCGCCGUCGGUCGUCGUGGUGGAGAUACGCCCGCGGAUUCUCUUUUCGCAGUCUCCUCAGGUGGUGGUCAGUCGGGCACCGAGCUUCAUUCUCCAUUCCAAUGAAAAAAGUUGAAUCCAUAGGUGGUGGACGUCGUCUGGCUCUGUAGUGCCACAUUGCCAAUAGGAACAAAGUGUGGCCGCAGAUACAAGUGAUAAGAAAAAUCCACCCGGAAGAUAGCCAUCCGGACGGUGUCGAAGAAGAUUAGUUAAAUUGUGUUCUCAGUGUUGCAACCGUUACAGAUGGGAAUUCCGGUGUGAAUGGAUCGUUGGGUCUCGCUGGAAAAGGAGCCCGGUUCUUGAGAGGCAGCAGUGCCAUCUGCCCUAGAAAGUGCGCGAGUGGCAGAAGUGUGUUCCGGAAGCCGUGCCAGCAAAAAUUUCCGGAGUGAGCGUGCGUACCUAUCCUACCGAAGCGCCAAGCAACGUAGCUUCCGCGGCAGCUGCAGCGAAGAAGAUUCGAAGAAUUCGAAAACCCAAAAUUCAAGUUGAGUGAUCAAAUUUGCUAGUAUCGGAGUAGUGUCCCCCGGGAGACCCAACCGAAGCGUCCAAAAUGACGAAGGACAGAUUAGCAGCGUUACAAGCGGCACAGAGCGACGAGAGGACAUGCCGGAAGAUGUAGGCGUGCCGGUGGAGGGCAGCUUUAUGGGGAUUUUUUCAACGAGGUGGAAGAGAU
Long non-coding RNA from Armigeres subalbatus, 829 nucleotides. RefSeq lists it as uncharacterized. Lineage: Eukaryota; Metazoa; Arthropoda; Insecta; Diptera; Culicidae. The record is from RefSeq and is a predicted model, not a curated record. The transcript is spliced from 3 exons.